GCUCCACGGUUGUCAUGACAACACCUGUUGGACAGCAGGGGAGGGGGGGGGGGCAAUGGUGGCCUCUCACAACAGCUCACUUUGACCAGGUGCAGAGUUGAAGCUGUCUGUAGAGUUGAAAACAUCCGUUACCAUGAGGUACCUUGACUUGCAGCCCGGUCUGGUAAUCCAUGCAGUGGCUUCACAACAGGAGGUGGCACAGGAGGAGGAGACUGACAUCUACCUGAAGCUCCUUAUCUGCAGCUUUGGCGAGUUCAACGGCCAGGGAAUCCAGCCGCUGCCUCACCGGCCCGUCCACCGACAGCACAUGAGCCAGCUCACACAGUGAAGGGUAGAGCUUGAAGCACCAGAGAGGAAAUGAUUCAUUCAAAUUCAGUGUCACAGAAACAACACAGCACAGAGGGAAUGUUCUACCUGUUCGGCGGUGCUGGUGACGAGACCCUGGUGCAGACGCAGGGCCUGGCGUUGAGAGAAACGCUGAGUCUGGUUGUUCCUCACCAGCGCUCGCUGGAUCUGUGACCAAUGAACAACACCUACAUUACUGAAUGUGGGCUUAAAAAGGGGAACUGCGGUACGCCUGGCUGAUGUCACUCAGAGGAAGAGGCAUGUACUGCAAUGUAAAGUUACUAAAAAAUGGAAACGAAGAAGGAGAGAAAUCAAAGAAAAGGGCUUUGCUCAGCAUCUUGGCCCCGAUGUCGUCCAUGCUGUUGCCACUCAGGUCCACUUUUCUCAGGCAGGUGUUGCUGCCCAGGGCAUUGACCAGUACGGUCCCCCUGGAGCGCAGACGGGACUCGGUCAGUGACAGUGUCUGCAGGGCCUGGAGGGGGAGAUUAGAAGAUGGCAUAAAAAGUCAAAGUGUUUGAGGGAGGGGUGUCUGGAGAGAGCUGGCAGCACUGUGAUCAUGUCUGCAUCAAAACCUGUCCUUGUCUGCCUGAGGACGAGGAGUCAAAGUCACAGAAAGAACAUUCUGCUGCUGCACGCCACUGGCCUCCUGUACCGUUGUCGGAGAUAUCCAGAGUGCCAAUGGAUGAUACCCGUGGGAGGAGCUCCUGGAUUACAGCAGCCCCUGCAGUCCUCAGCUAGAGAAAGAGAGAAGAUACAGUCGUGAAGUCCUACCUCACAGCCACUGAUGUCCAGAUGAAGGUCAUUGAUGUGUGGGUUUGUGGUCAACCCUGUGAGAAGAGCCCUGGAGGAAGGAGAGGACCAAAUCCAGUUGGUGUGGGUCAGAUAAAAGCAGACAGUGCUACAUGUCCUGCACCAAGGGGCCAAAUCUGCAUGUUACCUGUCGUCAGAUCACAGCCUCUACAAAACCAAGAGACCAGGUACCAAACGUCUUCUAACAUUCUCUGAUGAGAUGUUUGAACGCAGUAGCAGCAAUGCAACAGGAUAAACAUCAGCGUCAACCUUGAUGCUGCAGAUGAACUUGAUAGUUGAUUUAUCAAUUAUCUUCCUGAUGCUCUCUGUGGAUGGAAGACACACAGCGUCACGUCAUUAUCAACAAAAUCAAACUUGACAGGCCAAAGCUACAUGUGCUGUCAUCAUUGCUCCACCAUAUGCACUGUUGUCUGACCACUUGUGCGGGCAUCAGGGUGUAUCAUCCACAGAGACGCCUUCCCGUCAAAUACCAUCACUGUUGCCGCUCUGACCUCUGACUUAUGUACAGCACGUCAGCUGCUUGCUGCACCGAGGGAAGUGAUUUACUCACAGGGCGAGAACACAUGGCACUGACACUAAUAUCACAGAAAAAUACAGUCUGUGGCACGAAUUACAUGAUUCAGCCUCUCUAUUUCUGUGCCAGCACUGCAUCCCGGCUGACAAGAGCUAAUCAAUAGCAGCAAAGCAGCCUGGGCUGGUGGGAUUGGAAACCUGAGUGGAUACAAUAACACUAAGAUGCUAAAGCAAGACCUCCUGUUAAUGAAGCAGGCUUACUGUAGCCGUGUUUUUGGAGGCAGAAAAAUGUGUAAGGUGCACCCGGUUAACGGGGAUGGCUCCGGACUCAGAGCUAAUGAUAUUGUUUGUGCUGUUGCCAGGAGCCAGUUUGAGACACUAGAACUUGUUCACACAGAUUUUUAGCCAAUUAACUGGAGCCUGGUUUGAUACACACCAGAGUCUAUGUUAAAUCAAUGAAAUGUUUGUUAUAAAGCAAGUCGCAAAGGAAAACUAUAGUUUGUGUAGUAUAAAAAAAAGUUCACCCUUUACUUGGAGGACAGCACACAAAAACAUCCAUUUUAAUAGCUUUUAAUAAGCUUCCUAAGAAGCCAUUAGUGGGUUAAUAAAAUAUUUGAAGUUGACACAACCUACUGAAUACACGUGUCCACUUCUUCCACUUUUCUUUUCACAACUGAUCUGACAUGAGACAUGUAAAAGCUUUUUGUUUUUAUUCCUAAAACAAAUUAGGAUGUACACAUAAACUAACUAGCAUCCAUAUACAGAACAAUCAAGGUCAUUAUAACACAGUUCUGUUGUUCUAGGUCACUGAGUACUGUCUAGGUUACUCCCUGUACAUUUUUAUUUUAUAAAAGGUUACAACACAAAGAGCAGGGCCAGCCCUUUAAGCUGGUCAGGGCAAUAAGGUAACACUUGGUGUGUGUGUUCAAUUUUCAUUUUUAAGUAUUUUUCCAGUUAAGUACAUGAAGUUGCAUGAAUAUGACUAUGACUUUAUAUCAACUAUACAGUGUGUAAUGGCUGUUUCUGUUAAAACUGUGUCAUUCUUUUCCCUUUUCCCUGAGGAAUCCAUUUUUUUACUCUGGACAGUAGCAGAGAUCGAGACCUGUGAGGUAAAUGAACACAGUUGAGGUACGGCAUAACGUCCUUGUCUUUUCUUUUCCUUUGACAGAUUUCUGUGACCUUGAACACGUGCUCCUGUGUAAAAAUGUGGAUUUUAUUUCUGGAGUGUGAAGGUUUUAUAUAUGAAGCAUUUUUCUGUUAGUUGAAUCUUUGUCUAAGUAAGUAAAGAUCCAUUAGUCAAUAUGAUGGAAUAGUGUGUGUUUUGGGAGUUUGUUAAUUAUCAUUAGUAAUGCAGUGGCCUAAUUCAUUCAAAGCCCAAAGUAGUGGUUAAUGUUUGUUUUUGUUUUUUUUUUGUUUCCAGGUGAAAUCCUUCCCUCUGCUUCUAGAUGAUUGUUUCUUUUCCUUUGUGAAUACUGUAUAAGGACAAGUUUAUCUGCUUACCAGCAGGUGGCAUUGCUGGUACCUAAAGUUUAAAGUGUGGCCAUUGAAACUCAAUGAAAAAGCAACUAUGCCAGUUGGCCAUGUUUUGACAGAAAGGAAAUCUUGACUCAGCUCACCAGUGACCUUGUGCAGGUUGCAAGACUCCAGGCCAUCUUGGCCCCUAAUGUCAUGUCGGUGCACACUGAUAAAAAAGAGAGGAGGAAGAGGAGGAUGUGCUGCUUCUCAGCAGGUGAAUAAAUCAAGGAGCAGGGAUUCCAGUGGAUUAAUCAUCACAGUAGGUCUAAUAGAGCCAUUAGGAGUAAUUAACACAGCAGCCAAGUCCCCUGCUCCACCCUGGGUGAACAUGUGAGUGUUUGACACUUCACUCCCAACUCUGAAAUGUUUGAGCUUUGUGGAAGAAGAAGAAGAAGAAGAAGAGUUUGAUUUUUCAUGCAGCCCACUGCAUUUUGGACCGGAUGUAGUCAACAUAUGCCUUUACUUGGACUUUUACACGGUAGUAUUCAAAAGACCUCUACGGUUAGUAAGGCAGAGCUAUAACACACACCGUGUUAAAGGGGAGGAAACAGCGUGAAAAAGCAGGACACCAUGAGAGUCCAGAGUGCACGCACACGCACGCGUAUCAUUUCCACAACGCCCCUUUUCCUCUCUGGCCUAAGGCUGGGUGUUUAGCACCUGAUCUCAGCCAAGGAGCAGAUUGAAACCCCCGAUAAAGGAUGCGGUGAUGCAUUAAUGUACGCACGGUAAAUGGAUCACCUCCAAAUGAACCAAUUCCGUCCACAUGCACUGAGACAAUAGAGCAGCUCCUCUGGAGCAGACGCUCCAAGCCCCGGGACAGAGCGUAAAGGUGCAGCUCAUCAUGACAAUGAUCCAAUGCGUCUGCUUCGGUCACAGCCUCCAGCAGACGCGCACAGGAGAGGCAUCCACAAACACACACAGCAACUCAGGCAUGCACGAAAAGCAGACACGAGUGCGACGUGUUAACCCGCAACAAGACACGGGCGCAAAAUUCAGCCAAGCGGCGCUCUUUACCCACCUGUGAUGUCCUUGUUCACACUGACGAAUCCAGAGGCAAUGAUCUCUUUAGAAGCCAUGUCUGCUCCUGUGUCCCUCUACAACACUACCCCUCCUGCCGAUGCCCUCGCUCUCUCUCGCUCUUGCCCUCUCUCUCUCCCCCUCUCUCUCUCCCCCUCUCUCUCCCGUUUGUCAGACGCACUUCCAGGAACAGACCCUGUGGAUGUCGGGAGAAAGGAUGAGGGAGAGACGCUGGAGGAGGAGGAGGAGAGGCAGGGGUGAGGAGACAGAGGGGCGUGGAUCAUCACAGAGCUAUAAUGAGGCGGUGGUAGUUACCUGUGGAUGCAAAGAUCAUUACCCACUAGCUGUAUGGAUGCUACUUCACACAAGGAAGGAAAAGUCUCAUCAAGAUGACCAGCCCUAUCUGUGAUGCACUGUGUUGUGACUUGGACUGCUUCCUGAGACACAUUAUUAUUCUGUCUCCUACAGUACACAGUACACAGUACACUUAAACUGCUGUGGACUUCAGAAACACACUCUUUUUUUUAUAAGAACAACAGAGGAACAUCCAACAUUUCUUUGGAAGAAUGUACACCAUGCAGCUGCUCGGUGAGUAACAGUGCUGAAUUGAAACCCACCCUGAAUGUCGUCUGACAUCCAGUGCACUCUUUUACUUAGCUGUCAGUGCAGUGUAGAAGUGUAGUUCGUACGGUUUUCAGGGUUGUAAAUGUAACCUGUCUGUUACUGAGCGGCUAGGUGAUUAAAACGAAUAAAAUAAUGUUCACUAAUGCCAAUCAGUGGUUAAUGGUUAUAAUUUUAAUAAAG
Molecule: long non-coding RNA, 5004 nt
Organism: Cynoglossus semilaevis (tongue sole)
Lineage: Eukaryota; Metazoa; Chordata; Actinopteri; Pleuronectiformes; Cynoglossidae
Exons: 13
Source: RefSeq, a predicted model, not a curated record